This is a long non-coding RNA of Phascolarctos cinereus (koala), 946 nucleotides long. RefSeq lists it as uncharacterized. The record is from RefSeq and is a predicted model, not a curated record. NCBI's taxonomy places the organism in Eukaryota, Metazoa, Chordata, Mammalia, Diprotodontia, Phascolarctidae.
CGGAGCUGUUCUUUUCUUUCGCGGUACUGCGGGGACGUGAAGAUGCUCCUGUGUCCCUGGGCUUCCCGCGAUAAGCGCGGUCGCAAAGCUCCAGCGGGCUUCGGACAAGCGGCUCCGGGCUUUCUUCCCCAGGCAGCACAGGGAUCCUGGGUCGUUGGGUCCGAGACGGGCCACUGCCCGCCGUUGCCUCACGAGGGCUCGGCCAUCCUGUGCCGGAGCCCUCCCUCUGCUUAGGCCGCAGGCACUUCUGGCUUGAUUCCAACUACCACCCCAUGACUUGAGCCGAAGCAGUAAUCCAAGGUAAUUCCGGUGUCCUUUUUAUAGCAGAGUCACUGGAGUCCAAUGGCAAGACAUAAGACAACUGGUGAUGGCCCUGAGGAGGUGGUGGUGGCGAUGAUGAUCAAGCAAAAGGGAUUGAGAAAGAUCGAUCAGACAGGAGAGAAUGUAGAGAAAAGGCUAACAUACAGAAGGAGGAAACAUAAAAAAAUAUUACUAUGCCUUAAGAUGAUACCGUGAACAUUCCGAGAAGUAUGGGAAGAUUUAUUUGAACUGCUGCAGUAUUCUGAACCAGGAAAACAAUAUAUCCACAACAGUGUAAAUUCAAAUAACAAAAACAAACUUAAUACAAGGAAACUUCAAUGACCAAGCUUGACCCACGAAAAUAGCUAAGAAAAUGCAUCUUCUUCCAUUCCUUGUGUAUCUAGUGGCAGCCUAUGGUUGUAGAAUAUUGCACAUAGUCAGGCGUGGUUGAUGUGUUGGUUUUGUUGAGAACAACUUUUUUCUUUUUUUAGGCUUUGUCAUAAAGGGAUAGCUUCAUAGGUAGGGAUUUUAAGAUCAAUAUUUUGGAAUCAAAGGGGAUGUAAAAAUAGGAUGAAAUUUUAAAAAAGAAAUACUGUUUCUUGUUGAUUUGGGAUACACAAUAAAACCAACUCUGUAGACUCCUUCA